Molecule: ribosomal RNA, 498 nt
Filed under: uncultured bacterium
Lineage: Bacteria
Description: bacterial SSU rRNA
Rfam family: Bacterial small subunit ribosomal RNA
Source: RNAcentral
CUUGGUCAGGACGAACGCUGGCGGCGUGCCUAACACAUGCAAGUCGAACGGGAUUAUAUUGGAAGUUUCGGAUGGAAGGAUAUAAUUCUAGUGGCGAACGGGUGAGUAACACGUGAGCAACCCGCCCUGAAGUGGGGGAUAACACUUGGAAACAAGUGCUAAUACCGCAUAAGACCACGACCCGGCAUCGGGAUGAGGUCAAAGAUUUAUCGCUUUAGGAGGGGUUCGCGUCCCAUUAGGUAGAUGGCGGGGUAACGGCCCACCAUGCCGACGAUGGGUAGCCGAGCUGAGAGGCUGAUCGGCCACACUGGAACUGAGACACGGUCCAGACUCCUACGGGAGGCAGCAGUGGGGAAUAUUGGGCAAUGGGCGCCAAGCCUGACCCAGCAACGCCGCGUGAGGGAAGAAGGUUUUCGGAUUGUAAACCUCUGUCGCAAGGGACGAAGAAGUGACGGUACCUUGUGAGGAAGCCCCGGCUAACUACGUGCCAGCAGCCGC